GCAGAUCGAUCUCUAUGGCUGGCGCCGCCGCCAUGUCUCCCCCCGCUUCUGCGCCGAUCAGGGUCGACUCCUCCUCAGAUAUCGACGCGACGUCCUACGAAGAACAUGCAUCCGCUCAACAACAAG
RNAcentral lists this non-coding RNA (126 nucleotides) under Pycnococcus provasolii. The record is from RNAcentral. Lineage: Eukaryota; Viridiplantae; Chlorophyta; Pseudoscourfieldiophyceae; Pseudoscourfieldiales; Pycnococcaceae.